GACGAACGCUGGCGGCGUGCCUAAUACAUGCAAGUCGAGCGAGCUUGCCUAGAUGAAUUUGGUGCUUGCACCAGAUGAAACUAGAUACAAGCGAGCGGCGGACGGGUGAGUAACACGUGGGUAACCUGCCCAAGAGACUGGGAUAACACCUGGAAACAGAUGCUAAUACCGGAUAACAACACUAGACGCAUGUCUAGAGUUUAAAAGAUGGUUCUGCUAUCACUCUUGGAUGGACCUGCGGUGCAUUAGCUAGUUGGUAAGGUAACGGCUUACCAAGGCAAUGAUGCAUAGCCGAGUUGAGAGACUGAUCGGCCACAUUGGGACUGAGACACGGCCCAAACUCCUACGGGAGGCAGCAGUAGGGAAUCUUCCACAAUGGACGCAAGUCUGAUGGAGCAACGCCGCGUGAGUGAAGAAGGGUUUCGGCUCGUAAAGCUCUGUUGGUAGUGAAGAAAGAUAGAGGUAGUAACUGGCCUUUAUUUGACGGUAAUUACUUAGAAAGUCACGGCUAACUACGUGCCAGCAGCCGCGGUAAUACGUAGGUGGCAAGCGUUGUCCGGAUUUAUUGGGCGUAAAGCGAGUGCAGGCGGUUCAAUAAGUCUGAUGUGAAAGCCUUCGGCUCAACCGGAGAAUUGCAUCAGAAACUGUUGAACUUGAGUGCAGAAGAGGAGAGUGGAACUCCAUGUGUAGCGGUGGAAUGCGUAGAUAUAUGGAAGAACACCAGUGGCNAAGGCGGCUCUCUGGUCUGCAACUGACGCUGAGGCUCGAAAGCAUGGGUAGCGAACAGG
This 788-nucleotide ribosomal RNA is filed under the name uncultured Lactobacillus sp. Its description in RNAcentral is "bacterial SSU rRNA". It matches the Rfam family "Bacterial small subunit ribosomal RNA", at positions 28 to 776 of the family's 1533-position model. The record is from RNAcentral. Lineage: Bacteria; Bacillati; Bacillota; Bacilli; Lactobacillales; Lactobacillaceae.